UAAAAUAUCUCUUAGAUUGGUUAGUUCUAGAAUGCGUCACAUGCAAUGAUGGGAAAGUGCUGACUGUGUGUAUAAAUUAUUUCAGAUAAGAGAAGGAAGAUUGCAAGGGGUGGGGCAGUGUCUUAUCCGUGAGUAUAGAAUGGCAUGUCAUGUGUUCAAGGGAGAAUCAGUAAAGACUUUUUGGAGGGGUGUAGAGCCAUAUUGAUAGACAAAGAUAGGAAACCAAAGGUCGUAUUGCUGAAAUUAUAGUGGGAGCCAAGGCGACUAGAGGACAUGAAGGAUAGCAUGGUAGAUCAGUAUUUUGAGAGAAU
Molecule: non-coding RNA, 311 nt
Organism: Camelina sativa (false flax)
Lineage: Eukaryota; Viridiplantae; Streptophyta; Magnoliopsida; Brassicales; Brassicaceae
Source: RefSeq, a predicted model, not a curated record